This 61-nucleotide transfer RNA is filed under the name Hirudinaria manillensis. RNAcentral describes it as "Poecilobdella manillensis tRNA-Leu". The record is from RNAcentral. Lineage: Eukaryota; Metazoa; Annelida; Clitellata; Hirudinida; Hirudinidae.
UAUAUAGUGGCAGAGUAGUGCAUUAGGUUUAAGCCCUAAAAAUGAAUAAAUUCUUAUAUAA